AAGCCGGUCUCAGUUCGGAUCGGGGUCUGCAACUCGACCCCGUGAAGUCGGAGUCGCUAGUAAUCGCAGAUCAGCAACGCUGCGGUGAAUACGUUCCCGGGCCUUGUACACACCGCCCGUCACGUCAUGAAAGUCGGUAACACCCGAAGCCAGUGGCCUAACCCUCGGGAGGGAGCUGUCGAAGGUGGGAUCGGCGAUUGGGACUAAGUCGUAACAAGGUAGCCGUACCGGAA
RNAcentral lists this ribosomal RNA (233 nucleotides) under Mycobacterium tuberculosis. Its description in RNAcentral is "partial 16S ribosomal RNA". It matches the Rfam family "Bacterial small subunit ribosomal RNA", at positions 1279 to 1510 of the family's 1533-position model. The record is from RNAcentral. Lineage: Bacteria; Bacillati; Actinomycetota; Actinomycetes; Mycobacteriales; Mycobacteriaceae.